Molecule: long non-coding RNA, 10057 nt
Filed under: Lupinus angustifolius (narrow-leaved blue lupine)
Lineage: Eukaryota; Viridiplantae; Streptophyta; Magnoliopsida; Fabales; Fabaceae
Description: long non-coding RNA (LANG_LNC003121)
Rfam family: tRNA (bases 3764-3837)
Source: RNAcentral
UCGGCUCGAUAAAAAAUAAAUAAAUAGGCAGAGCAUAUUAAGCACAGUAGAAUUCGAAAUGGGGAAAACGGGAUUCUAGGAGGGAUUAUUUUUCUUUUCCUAGAGUCCGUCCGAUUCAUUCUUGCUUGUAUCGAAAUAUUCUACAAAAUUUUAAGAAAAUAAUACUUCUGGAUCCCCUUCCUAAAAGAAUCCUAUUCUUAGUUUCGAUUUUUUCCAACUUAGAACUUUUAUGUUUAUGACAUAUAAUAUGUGGUGGAGUAGUGGACAAACACAAAAAAGAGAGGGAAUUUUAUUGACCAAAUACAAAACGUCUUCAAUUAACUUGUUUAGAAAAAAGAAUUCAAUCAUGAUUCGAUACUAUUAGAUACUAAAAUAAAAUCGAUUUAGAGUAAGAUUCGAUUAGGAUACUUAAGAAAGGUUAGGUUCACAUGAUAUUUGAUCGAUAAAUAUAUAGAAUAUAAUUAAGAAUGUAUUCCAAUAUAAUACAAUAGAAUUCAUUAUAUUUAUAUUGCACCACCCAGAAAAAGUAAAUCAAGCGAUUCCUUUUAUUCUUUCUUUUUUUUUACUUUAUCUUUCUUUCAAUUUUAAAUAAAAAGUAUUGACAGAUAUUAUUCCGUAAAAGAUGUUUUGAAUCAAUUAAUGAAGUUGAUUUUUCAAAAACAUCAUCAAAAACAAUGAAAUAAAUGGAGUUUUUUUUUUAAUCGCAAAAAGCAAUCUAAUAUCUAGUGAGUCAUUUGUACGAACAAAAAAUAUUUUAAUUAUUAAGAACUCAACGGGACCCCCUCGAAUUUGUCAAAGAAAGGGUGGAUCCCUGUUGAGUUCUUACACUUUCAUUUCGAAAACUCAAUUCAUCCAAUUACUACAGGGAUGAGCCCAAUCCGGAAUAUGAACCAUAAAAGAAAAUACCAAUUAAACCGAUCACAGCAAUACCAGUUACAGUACCUAUUAUCCAAAGAGGAAUCCUUCCAGUAGUAUCGGCCAUUUAUCCCACUUUCCUCCACAUUUUAUUAAGUAGUCAUGCUAGAGACAUAAACAGUCAUAGAUAAUUAUGAAAUGAUAUCUUUCCGACUGGGAUAAGAUAAUUCUUACUAUUUCCUUUUCUUCUAUUAAUUGAAGAAAUAAUUUGAAAAUAAAACAGCAAGUACAAAAAUUAGUAAUAAACCCCAGUAGAGACUGGUACGAUUCAAUUCAACAUUUUGUUCGUUUGGGUUUGAUUGUGUCGUAGCUCUAUAAUUCGGAUUAGGUUUAUCGUUGGAUGAACUGCAUUGCUGAUAUUGAUCCCAAAAAAGAAACGGUGGGUACCGCUAGUCCGUGAACAGCCAACCAUCGUACUGUAAAAAUUGGAUAGGUCCUAUCUAUGGUCAUUUGAGCCUCCUAAAAAGAUCUACUAAAUUCAUCGAGUUGUUCCAAAGGAUCAAAACGGCCGGUUAUUAAUGGAAUUCCUUGUCGGCUCUCUGUAAAAUACUCGUUUGGGCGGGGACUUCCAAAUACAUCGUAAGCUAAACCCGUGCUGACAAAUAGCCACCCCGCAAUGAAUAGGGAGGGUAUAGUAAUGCUAUGAAUAAUCCAGUAUCGAAUACUGGUAAUAAUAUCAGCAAAAGAACGUUCUCCUGUGCUUCCAGACAUGUCGAACUCCACAUAUUCUUGUACAGUAAAAAGGGGGUCGAUUCCAUAAAAGAUGAAAUCAUCAGUAAGUAGAAAUUUACUGAAAUUUAAUCUUUGUUAGAUCGUCAAUAUUGUACCAAGGGUGUCUUUCGAGUAUACCGAACCAGUAUAGCUAUCCUUCUUCUGAUACAGCAAUUCAAUUUCACAAUAAGUGGCGAGAUUAAGGACUAGAUAAUUUUUUUCUUCUUUGCUUGUUGGUUUGGUUGUCUCGAUGUACUGUACUAAAUGAGAGUAUAAGAAUUUUUUUAUACUCUAAAAUUAGGGUUCUCGACAUUAUUCUAUUAUUAUUAGUUUCGCACUAUACUCGAAACUGAGAAUCAAUUAAAAUGGUAAUCCGACCGAUUGGUUUCUAAUAAUUCAGGAAGGAAAUUAUCAUAUUUCUACAAUUCAAUUAGAUGUGAAAUCUAGAAAUAUACUUUUUUGUGAUUGUCAAAGAUGUUUUUUUUGUUGGAACCUACUCCCUUUUAUUUAAUUUUAAAGAGUGGAAUUGGUUAGUCGUUCAGUAACAAUAAUAGCGGUAAUAAAUUAAAUACUAUUUGAUGGAAGAAAAAGUUGAUUAGUUGUUCUUGUAUUAGACACAAAAAAGGUUCUUUCUUGGCUUAAUUACAAGGAUAAAGCUUUUUUUUAUUAAAAUUAUAAAUAGAAAAGGGGAAAGAAAAAAACGGCGGAAUACCAGUUUCGAGUGAUCUGAUACCCUCUUUCUUCUCGUUGUAUAUAUUAGAAGAAUGGAAACUCCUACUACUAAAUCUAAUGGAUUAAAAUCAAAGGAAAAAAAGUAAAUGACAUUCUAAGGUCACUCUUUCUUCUUUUCUUCUAAACUGAAGAAGGAAAAUAGAAAAAAUUAGAUACAAUAAAAAAAACAAGGGGGGUUUUCAAAUAGAUAUUUUUCGUAUUUUCUUUCAUAUUAAUUUUAAGUUGAAUUAAAUUAAACAACAAAGUUUCUUUUUAUUCUUUUUUUUUUUUUAUAUUAAUUAUUAUUUUUAUUAUUUUGUAUUCCUGAUAAUAUAUAAUUUUAUAAUUAUAUAGAAUAUAAAUAAUAAAUAUUAUAUAUUCUAUUUUUAAUACAAAAUUAAAAUAAUCUAAAAUUAAGAUGAAAAUAAUCUAAUUAGAUUGGUUUACUCAACUCACGAGUUGUUCAAUGAAUUUGUUGAUUUGAAAUCACAAGAUGAGUAGAUGUCACAGAUGAUGAAUUGCUUUCUUAUCUAUGUCACUCUAUUUUGCUUCGUCUGUAAUUGAUGAAUCACAAAUAUUCAAUUGUACCUUUCAAGUUUGUUUAUUUUACAAUUUUUCUCCUCAAAAUGGAAACUUAGGGAAGUGCUUUAUAAACAUAUGUAUGUAUAAAAAAAAAAAUUUCAUUUAGCUUCUUUAUGCCCACUAUAACUAGUUAUUUCGGUUUUCUACUAGCGGCUUUAACUAUAACCUCAGCUCUAUUUAUUGGUCUGAGUAAGAUACGACUUAUUUGAUUUGAAAUGAUAAAAUGAAUUGACAAUUUUUUUAUAUUCUAGAUAUUCCACAGUUCCUUAUCGUGUCCAUUUCCAAUUUCUUGGUCGUUGGGAUUCAUGGUCAAUAUAGAUUAAUAUUUAAGGAUAGAUAUUACCUCCCCCUUUCCCUUUCAAACAAAUUCAAAUGAUUGAAGUUUUUCUCUUUGGAAUCGUGUUAGGUCUCAUUCCUAUUACUUUGGCUGGAUUAUUCGUAACUGCAUAUUUACAAUACCGACGUGGUGAUCAGUUAGACCUUUGAUCAAUUAACACCUCUUUUGUUUAUUGACCUACUAUUUCUUUGUUUUAAUCCUAAUCCCAGAGGUCAAAUUCAGACUUUAGACUGUGGUUCAAAUAUUUCGCAGUGUCGUUCUGUCUGGAUCUAACAAGAAUGGAAUCACGCUCUGUAGGAUUUGAACCUACGACAUCGGGUUUUGGAGACCCGCGUUCUACCGAACUGAACUAAGAGCGCUUUAUUCUCAUAAAUAAUUUUAUGAGACCCCAAUACAUCUUGCAGGCAUAUACUAUAUCAAUAUAUCACAAUAUAUAUUGUGAUAUAUUGAUAUAGUAUAUGCCUGCAAGAUGUAUUGGGGUCUCAUAAAAUUAUUUAUGAGAAUAAAGCGCUCUUAGUUCAGUUCGGUAGAACGCGGGUCUCCAAAACCCGAUGUCGUAGGUUCAAAUCCUACAGAGCGUGAUUCCAUUCUUGUUAGAUCCAGACAGAACGACACUGCGAAAUAUUUGAACCACAGUCUAAAGUCUGAAUUUGACCUCUGGGAUUAGGAUUAAAACAAAGAAAUAGUAGGUCAAUAAACAAAAGAGGUGUUAAUUGAUCAAAGGUCUAACUGAUCACCACGUCGGUAUUGUAAAUAUGCAGUUACGAAUAAUCCAGCCAAAGUAAUAGGAAUGAGACCUAACACGAUUCCAAAGAGAAAAACUUCAAUCAUUUGAAUUUGUUUGAAAGGGAAAGGGGGAGGUAAUAUCUAUCCUUAAAUAUUAAUCUAUAUUGACCAUGAAUCCCAACGACCAAGAAAUUGGAAAUGGACACGAUAAGGAACUGUGGAAUAUCUAGAAUAUAAAAAAAUUGUCAAUUCAUUUUAUCAUUUCAAAUCAAAUAAGUCGUAUCUUACUCAGACCAAUAAAUAGAGCUGAGGUUAUAGUUAAAGCCGCUAGUAGAAAACCGAAAUAACUAGUUAUAGUGGGCAUAAAGAAGCUAAAUGAAAUUUUUUUUUUUAUACAUACAUAUGUUUAUAAAGCACUUCCCUAAGUUUCCAUUUUGAGGAGAAAAAUUGUAAAAUAAACAAACUUGAAAGGUACAAUUGAAUAUUUGUGAUUCAUCAAUUACAGACGAAGCAAAAUAGAGUGACAUAGAUAAGAAAGCAAUUCAUCAUCUGUGACAUCUACUCAUCUUGUGAUUUCAAAUCAACAAAUUCAUUGAACAACUCGUGAGUUGAGUAAACCAAUCUAAUUAGAUUAUUUUCAUCUUAAUUUUAGAUUAUUUUAAUUUUGUAUUAAAAAUAGAAUAUAUAAUAUUUAUUAUUUAUAUUCUAUAUAAUUAUAAAAUUAUAUAUUAUCAGGAAUACAAAAUAAUAAAAAUAAUAAUUAAUAUAAAAAAAAAAAAAGAAUAAAAAGAAACUUUGUUGUUUAAUUUAAUUCAACUUAAAAUUAAUAUGAAAGAAAAUACGAAAAAUAUCUAUUUGAAAACCCCCCUUGUUUUUUUUAUUGUAUCUAAUUUUUUCUAUUUUCCUUCUUCAGUUUAGAAGAAAAGAAGAAAGAGUGACCUUAGAAUGUCAUUUACUUUUUUUCCUUUGAUUUUAAUCCAUUAGAUUUAGUAGUAGGAGUUUCCAUUCUUCUAAUAUAUACAACGAGAAGAAAGAGGGUAUCAGAUCACUCGAAACUGGUAUUCCGCCGUUUUUUUCUUUCCCCUUUUCUAUUUAUAAUUUUAAUAAAAAAAAGCUUUAUCCUUGUAAUUAAGCCAAGAAAGAACCUUUUUUGUGUCUAAUACAAGAACAACUAAUCAACUUUUUCUUCCAUCAAAUAGUAUUUAAUUUAUUACCGCUAUUAUUGUUACUGAACGACUAACCAAUUCCACUCUUUAAAAUUAAAUAAAAGGGAGUAGGUUCCAACAAAAAAAACAUCUUUGACAAUCACAAAAAAGUAUAUUUCUAGAUUUCACAUCUAAUUGAAUUGUAGAAAUAUGAUAAUUUCCUUCCUGAAUUAUUAGAAACCAAUCGGUCGGAUUACCAUUUUAAUUGAUUCUCAGUUUCGAGUAUAGUGCGAAACUAAUAAUAAUAGAAUAAUGUCGAGAACCCUAAUUUUAGAGUAUAAAAAAAUUCUUAUACUCUCAUUUAGUACAGUACAUCGAGACAACCAAACCAACAAGCAAAGAAGAAAAAAAUUAUCUAGUCCUUAAUCUCGCCACUUAUUGUGAAAUUGAAUUGCUGUAUCAGAAGAAGGAUAGCUAUACUGGUUCGGUAUACUCGAAAGACACCCUUGGUACAAUAUUGACGAUCUAACAAAGAUUAAAUUUCAGUAAAUUUCUACUUACUGAUGAUUUCAUCUUUUAUGGAAUCGACCCCCUUUUUACUGUACAAGAAUAUGUGGAGUUCGACAUGUCUGGAAGCACAGGAGAACGUUCUUUUGCUGAUAUUAUUACCAGUAUUCGAUACUGGAUUAUUCAUAGCAUUACUAUACCCUCCCUAUUCAUUGCGGGGUGGCUAUUUGUCAGCACGGGUUUAGCUUACGAUGUAUUUGGAAGUCCCCGCCCAAACGAGUAUUUUACAGAGAGCCGACAAGGAAUUCCAUUAAUAACCGGCCGUUUUGAUCCUUUGGAACAACUCGAUGAAUUUAGUAGAUCUUUUUAGGAGGCUCAAAUGACCAUAGAUAGGACCUAUCCAAUUUUUACAGUACGAUGGUUGGCUGUUCACGGACUAGCGGUACCCACCGUUUCUUUUUUGGGAUCAAUAUCAGCAAUGCAGUUCAUCCAACGAUAAACCUAAUCCGAAUUAUAGAGCUACGACACAAUCAAACCCAAACGAACAAAAUGUUGAAUUGAAUCGUACCAGUCUCUACUGGGGUUUAUUACUAAUUUUUGUACUUGCUGUUUUAUUUUCAAAUUAUUUCUUCAAUUAAUAGAAGAAAAGGAAAUAGUAAGAAUUAUCUUAUCCCAGUCGGAAAGAUAUCAUUUCAUAAUUAUCUAUGACUGUUUAUGUCUCUAGCAUGACUACUUAAUAAAAUGUGGAGGAAAGUGGGAUAAAUGGCCGAUACUACUGGAAGGAUUCCUCUUUGGAUAAUAGGUACUGUAACUGGUAUUGCUGUGAUCGGUUUAAUUGGUAUUUUCUUUUAUGGUUCAUAUUCCGGAUUGGGCUCAUCCCUGUAGUAAUUGGAUGAAUUGAGUUUUCGAAAUGAAAGUGUAAGAACUCAACAGGGAUCCACCCUUUCUUUGACAAAUUCGAGGGGGUCCCGUUGAGUUCUUAAUAAUUAAAAUAUUUUUUGUUCGUACAAAUGACUCACUAGAUAUUAGAUUGCUUUUUGCGAUUAAAAAAAAAACUCCAUUUAUUUCAUUGUUUUUGAUGAUGUUUUUGAAAAAUCAACUUCAUUAAUUGAUUCAAAACAUCUUUUACGGAAUAAUAUCUGUCAAUACUUUUUAUUUAAAAUUGAAAGAAAGAUAAAGUAAAAAAAAAGAAAGAAUAAAAGGAAUCGCUUGAUUUACUUUUUCUGGGUGGUGCAAUAUAAAUAUAAUGAAUUCUAUUGUAUUAUAUUGGAAUACAUUCUUAAUUAUAUUCUAUAUAUUUAUCGAUCAAAUAUCAUGUGAACCUAACCUUUCUUAAGUAUCCUAAUCGAAUCUUACUCUAAAUCGAUUUUAUUUUAGUAUCUAAUAGUAUCGAAUCAUGAUUGAAUUCUUUUUUCUAAACAAGUUAAUUGAAGACGUUUUGUAUUUGGUCAAUAAAAUUCCCUCUCUUUUUUGUGUUUGUCCACUACUCCACCACAUAUUAUAUGUCAUAAACAUAAAAGUUCUAAGUUGGAAAAAAUCGAAACUAAGAAUAGGAUUCUUUUAGGAAGGGGAUCCAGAAGUAUUAUUUUCUUAAAAUUUUGUAGAAUAUUUCGAUACAAGCAAGAAUGAAUCGGACGGACUCUAGGAAAAGAAAAAUAAUCCCUCCUAGAAUCCCGUUUUCCCCAUUUCGAAUUCUACUGUGCUUAAUAUGCUCUGCCUAUUUAUUUAUUUUUUAUCGAGCCGAAUUUUCGUAUAUUAGAAUAGAAAUCUAUUAAUAGAUUUCUAUUCUAAUAUACGAAAAUUCGGCUCGAUAAAAAAUAAAUAAAUAGGCAGAGCAUAUUAAGCACAGUAGAAUUCGAAAUGGGGAAAACGGGAUUCUAGGAGGGAUUAUUUUUCUUUUCCUAGAGUCCGUCCGAUUCAUUCUUGCUUGUAUCGAAAUAUUCUACAAAAUUUUAAGAAAAUAAUACUUCUGGAUCCCCUUCCUAAAAGAAUCCUAUUCUUAGUUUCGAUUUUUUCCAACUUAGAACUUUUAUGUUUAUGACAUAUAAUAUGUGGUGGAGUAGUGGACAAACACAAAAAAGAGAGGGAAUUUUAUUGACCAAAUACAAAACGUCUUCAAUUAACUUGUUUAGAAAAAAGAAUUCAAUCAUGAUUCGAUACUAUUAGAUACUAAAAUAAAAUCGAUUUAGAGUAAGAUUCGAUUAGGAUACUUAAGAAAGGUUAGGUUCACAUGAUAUUUGAUCGAUAAAUAUAUAGAAUAUAAUUAAGAAUGUAUUCCAAUAUAAUACAAUAGAAUUCAUUAUAUUUAUAUUGCACCACCCAGAAAAAGUAAAUCAAGCGAUUCCUUUUAUUCUUUCUUUUUUUUUACUUUAUCUUUCUUUCAAUUUUAAAUAAAAAGUAUUGACAGAUAUUAUUCCGUAAAAGAUGUUUUGAAUCAAUUAAUGAAGUUGAUUUUUCAAAAACAUCAUCAAAAACAAUGAAAUAAAUGGAGUUUUUUUUUUAAUCGCAAAAAGCAAUCUAAUAUCUAGUGAGUCAUUUGUACGAACAAAAAAUAUUUUAAUUAUUAAGAACUCAACGGGACCCCCUCGAAUUUGUCAAAGAAAGGGUGGAUCCCUGUUGAGUUCUUACACUUUCAUUUCGAAAACUCAAUUCAUCCAAUUACUACAGGGAUGAGCCCAAUCCGGAAUAUGAACCAUAAAAGAAAAUACCAAUUAAACCGAUCACAGCAAUACCAGUUACAGUACCUAUUAUCCAAAGAGGAAUCCUUCCAGUAGUAUCGGCCAUUUAUCCCACUUUCCUCCACAUUUUAUUAAGUAGUCAUGCUAGAGACAUAAACAGUCAUAGAUAAUUAUGAAAUGAUAUCUUUCCGACUGGGAUAAGAUAAUUCUUACUAUUUCCUUUUCUUCUAUUAAUUGAAGAAAUAAUUUGAAAAUAAAACAGCAAGUACAAAAAUUAGUAAUAAACCCCAGUAGAGACUGGUACGAUUCAAUUCAACAUUUUGUUCGUUUGGGUUUGAUUGUGUCGUAGCUCUAUAAUUCGGAUUAGGUUUAUCGUUGGAUGAACUGCAUUGCUGAUAUUGAUCCCAAAAAAGAAACGGUGGGUACCGCUAGUCCGUGAACAGCCAACCAUCGUACUGUAAAAAUUGGAUAGGUCCUAUCUAUGGUCAUUUGAGCCUCCUAAAAAGAUCUACUAAAUUCAUCGAGUUGUUCCAAAGGAUCAAAACGGCCGGUUAUUAAUGGAAUUCCUUGUCGGCUCUCUGUAAAAUACUCGUUUGGGCGGGGACUUCCAAAUACAUCGUAAGCUAAACCCGUGCUGACAAAUAGCCACCCCGCAAUGAAUAGGGAGGGUAUAGUAAUGCUAUGAAUAAUCCAGUAUCGAAUACUGGUAAUAAUAUCAGCAAAAGAACGUUCUCCUGUGCUUCCAGACAUGUCGAACUCCACAUAUUCUUGUACAGUAAAAAGGGGGUCGAUUCCAUAAAAGAUGAAAUCAUCAGUAAGUAGAAAUUUACUGAAAUUUAAUCUUUGUUAGAUCGUCAAUAUUGUACCAAGGGUGUCUUUCGAGUAUACCGAACCAGUAUAGCUAUCCUUCUUCUGAUACAGCAAUUCAAUUUCACAAUAAGUGGCGAGAUUAAGGACUAGAUAAUUUUUUUCUUCUUUGCUUGUUGGUUUGGUUGUCUCGAUGUACUGUACUAAAUGAGAGUAUAAGAAUUUUUUUAUACUCUAAAAUUAGGGUUCUCGACAUUAUUCUAUUAUUAUUAGUUUCGCACUAUACUCGAAACUGAGAAUCAAUUAAAAUGGUAAUCCGACCGAUUGGUUUCUAAUAAUUCAGGAAGGAAAUUAUCAUAUUUCUACAAUUCAAUUAGAUGUGAAAUCUAGAAAUAUACUUUUUUGUGAUUGUCAAAGAUGUUUUUUUUGUUGGAACCUACUCCCUUUUAUUUAAUUUUAAAGAGUGGAAUUGGUUAGUCGUUCAGUAACAAUAAUAGCGGUAAUAAAUUAAAUACUAUUUGAUGGAAGAAAAAGUUGAUUAGUUGUUCUUGUAUUAGACACAAAAAAGGUUCUUUCUUGGCUUAAUUACAAGGAUAAAGCUUUUUUUUAUUAAAAUUAUAAAUAGAAAAGGGGAAAGAAAAAAACGGCGGAAUACCAGUUUCGAGUGAUCUGAUACCCUCUUUCUUCUCGUUGUAUAUAUUAGAAGAAUGGAAACUCCUACUACUAAAUCUAAUGGAUUAAAAUCAAAGGAAAAAAAGUAAAUGACAUUCUAAGGUCACUCUUUCUUCUUUUCUUCUAAACUGAAGAAGGAAAAUAGAAAAAAUUAGAUACAAUAAAAAAAACAAGGGGGGUUUUCAAAUAGAUAUUUUUCGUAUUUUCUUUCAUAUUAAUUUUAAGUUGAAUUAAAUUAAACAACAAAGUUUCUUUUUAUUCUUUUU